This 466-nucleotide ribosomal RNA is filed under the name uncultured bacterium. RNAcentral describes it as "SSU rRNA". It matches the Rfam family "Bacterial small subunit ribosomal RNA", at positions 26 to 518 of the family's 1533-position model. The record is from RNAcentral.
AGGACGAACGCUGGCGGCGUGCUUAACACAUGCAAGUGGAGCGACGAACCAGGGCUUGCCCUGGGGCAGAGCCGCGAACGGGUGAGUAACACGUGGGUUACCUGCCUCGAUGACCGGGACAACCCGAGGAAACUCGGGCUAAUACCGGAUGUGCCCGUAAGGGGAAAGGAAGCUUCGGCCUCCGCAUCGAGAUGGGCCCGCGGCCCAUUAGCUUGUUGGUGAGGUAACGGCUCACCAAGGCUUUGAUGGGUAGCUGGUCUGAGAGGACGAUCAGCCACACUGGGACUGAGACACGGCCCAGACUCCUACGGGAGGCAGCAGUGGGGAAUUUUGCGCAAUGGGGGAAACCCUGACGCAGCAACGCCGCGUGGAGGAUGAAAUCCCUUGGGAUGUAAACUCCUUUCGAUAGGGAAGAUAAUGACGGUACCUAUAGAAGAAGCCCGGCUAACUUCGUGCCAGCAGCCGC